GCUUACAGCCACCAGCCUGGUUCACGCCCGAUCUCGUUUGAUCUCGGAAGCUAAGAUAGGUUGGGCCUGGUUAGUACUUGGAUGUGAGACCGCCUGGGAAUACCAGUUGCUGUAAGCU
Molecule: ribosomal RNA, 118 nt
Filed under: Scophthalmus maximus (turbot)
Lineage: Eukaryota; Metazoa; Chordata; Actinopteri; Pleuronectiformes; Scophthalmidae
Source: RNAcentral